GCCUGGCUGGCUCAGCUAGUAGAGCAUGUGACUUGUGAUCUCAUGGUUGUGUGUUCAAGCCCCAUGUUGAGCA
This 73-nucleotide transfer RNA is filed under the name Felis catus (domestic cat). It matches the Rfam family "tRNA". From Rfam's summary of the family: Transfer RNA (tRNA) molecules are approximately 80 nucleotides in length. RNAcentral also lists the same sequence under 4 other names. The record is from Rfam by way of RNAcentral. Lineage: Eukaryota; Metazoa; Chordata; Mammalia; Carnivora; Felidae.